RNAcentral lists this ribosomal RNA (465 nucleotides) under Vreelandella stevensii. RNAcentral's name for it is "partial 16S ribosomal RNA". It matches the Rfam family "Bacterial small subunit ribosomal RNA", at positions 338 to 795 of the family's 1533-position model. The record is from RNAcentral. Lineage: Bacteria; Pseudomonadati; Pseudomonadota; Gammaproteobacteria; Oceanospirillales; Halomonadaceae.
CCUACGGGUGGCAGCAGUGGGGAAUAUUGGACAAUGGGCGAAAGCCUGAUCCAGCCAUGCCGCGUGUGUGAAGAAGGCCUUCGGGUUGUAAAGCACUUUCAGUGGGGAAGAAAGCCUUGGGGCUAAUACCCUCGAGGAAGGACAUCACCCACAGAAGAAGCACCGGCUAACUCCGUGCCAGCAGCCGCGGUAAUACGGAGGGUGCGAGCGUUAAUCGGAAUUACUGGGCGCAAAGCGCGCGUAGGCGGUCUGAUAAGCCGGUUGUGAAAGCCCCGGGCUCAACCUGGGAACGGCAUCCGGAACUGUCAGGCUAGAGUGCAGGAGAGGAAGGUAGAAUUCCCGGUGUAGCGGUGAAAUGCGUAGAGAUCGGGAGGAAUACCAGUGGCGAAGGCGGCCUUCUGGACUGACACUGACGCUGAGGUGCGAAAGCGUGGGUAGCAAACAGGAUUAGAUACCCUAGUAGUC